GCCCGUCUAGCUCAGUUGGUAGAGCUGGUAGAGCGCAAGGCUCUUAACCUUGUGGUCGUGGGUUCCGAGCCCCACGGUGGGCG
This is a non-coding RNA of Lycium barbarum (goji berry), 83 nucleotides long. NCBI's taxonomy places the organism in Eukaryota, Viridiplantae, Streptophyta, Magnoliopsida, Solanales, Solanaceae. The record is from the annotation of a RefSeq genome assembly.